CACAAGGCAAAACUCACCCCGCACUUCAAGCCUCUCCCCUUCAGGGACCUCCUCCUUCGUGAUGCCUUUUUGGCUUCCCCAGGUGACAUGGGCCAGGCUUCUGGGAUCCACCUACUCUCAGAUUGGCCCUUGAGGUUAAGGAAGAAGGAAAUGCUCCUGUGGGUGGAGAGCUACAGGUUAUCUUUGACUACAGAUGGAGAAAGAAUGGAUUCAUCAAACCCGGAUACAAAUAGGAAUUUAUUAUACAAAAAAGAUGGCAUAUUAUCAAAUCAAUGGGGAAAAUUUGGUUUAUUUAGUGAAUAGUGCUGGAUAAACACAUACCCUUGCCUGAAACAAUCCCCUCUUUGCUAGUAGCUUCAUUGUCCUCCCCUCUUCUGCCUAUAAAACUUUUAUUUUCUGAGCUAUUCAAAGCUCCUUUCUAUCUGCUAGAUGAGAUGCUGCUGAUUCAUGAACCAGUGAAUAAAGCCAAUAAGAUCUUUAAAAUUUACUCAGUCAAAUUUUGUUUUUUUAACAAUUGUUUAAAAAACAAUUUUGUCUUUUACUGGGACUUUCUUGGUGGUUCAGUGGCUAAGACUCUGUGCUCCCAGUACAGGGGGCCCAAGUUCGAUCUCUGGUCUG
RNAcentral lists this long non-coding RNA (618 nucleotides) under Capra hircus (goat). RNAcentral's name for it is "lncRNA (ENSCHIG00000008030.1)". The record is from RNAcentral. Lineage: Eukaryota; Metazoa; Chordata; Mammalia; Artiodactyla; Bovidae.